Molecule: transfer RNA, 64 nt
Filed under: Isonychia ignota
Lineage: Eukaryota; Metazoa; Arthropoda; Insecta; Ephemeroptera; Isonychiidae
Also listed under: 1 other name
Description: tRNA-Ile
Source: RNAcentral
AAUGAAGUGCCUGAUUAAAGGGCCACUUUGAUAGAGUGGAUCAAGCGACGUGUCGUCUUCAUUA